RNAcentral lists this ribosomal RNA (449 nucleotides) under uncultured bacterium. RNAcentral's name for it is "bacterial SSU rRNA". It matches the Rfam family "Bacterial small subunit ribosomal RNA", at positions 29 to 506 of the family's 1533-position model. The record is from RNAcentral.
ACGAACGCUGGCGGCGCGCCUUACGCAUGCAAGUCGAACGGUCCUUCGGGACAGUGGCGGACGGCUGAGUAACGCGUAGGUAACCUGCCCCGUGGUGGGGGAUAACUCGCCGAAAGGCGGGCUAAUACCGCAUGAGUUUUCAGGGUGAAAUUCCCUGUUUGGAAAGCAGUAAUGCGCCACGGGAGGGGCCUGCGUCCUAUCAGGUUGUUGGUGGGGUAAAAGCCUACCAAGCCGAUGACGGGUAGCUGGUCUGAGAGGACGACCAGCCAGAAGGGGACUGAGACACGGCCCCUACUCCUACGGGAGGCAGCAGCGAGGAAUCUUGGUCAAUGGGCGAAAGCCUGAACCAGCGACGCCGCGUGAAGGAAGAAGGCCUUCGGGUCGUAAACUUCUUUUGUGGGGGAAGAAAUUCUGACGGUACCCCACGAAUAAGCCACGGCUAACUACGU